UCAGGAUGAGUAGAACUGGGGUUUUCUUUGUAGGAAAGUACCCUGGUGUGUGCUACUCAUGGUUACCCGUGAGAGGUGCACUGCUUCACGCCCCAGCCAUACCUUCCCGAUCCGUCCUGCGCUGCCUACCGCAACGUUUCUGCACUGGCAAGUAGCUCACCUCGCUAACAGGGCAGAAAGAGAAGAUUUGUGGAGCACGGCCGGCAUCUGACUGCAAUCACCCAGCUGCUGCCACUCCGGGCCCUUUCCACAGCAUUACCGAAUCACACAAACGGGGCCGGGAGGUGCGGAGAGGUCACUUUGUCUCCUUUCCCAAGGCAGCUCGCUCCACCCAAGCUGUACCUAAGAGAGCUGCCCAGCCCGCUUUUAGAAGUCUCUUAACGCUGAAGAGAUUCUGCAGAAGCACUGAGCAGCCCGCUUUCGAGUGCUUAACCACCCUCAGAAAACUUCCCAAGAAUAAAAGUCUGGAGGAAUCGAGGGGGGAUGUUUGGCCUACUGCUGACCUUGUCCGAGGUCCUCUCCACGUAGCAGGGCUCCUGGGGGGCGACCAGCAGGGGAACGAAGCCCGAGAGCAGCCGAUCCUCUUCCAGGCUGAGCAGGGCAAGGUCGUCAUCUGGGUCCUUGUACAGGGGCACCUCCGACUGAUUCACCGUGGUCAGUACGUUGCAGAAGUCAGCCAGCGUCGCCCACACAUCUACUGAGACCCUGGGAGAACGAGGAGAGACGUGAGCAAUUCGGGGCUGGAAUGCGUUGGGAGUUGCCUGCAACGCUGCAGCGAAUACCAGAGAGGUGAGAUGAGGCAACGCACGCCACCCCGCGCCCCGCGCCGCUGCCGACGUGCCCCACGGGGAGGGCUCCGGACACAGCUGCACUGGCACCGAACCCGCCAGGGCUUUUAACCCUCACCCCGAGCCAGCCAGAGCCGACCCCGAGCCUUCCAGCUCCCCGGAUGGGGAACGGCUCCGGGCAGGAUCCGGCCCCAACCCAACGCCCUGCCCGGCUCUGCCCGCUGUGGAGAGCCCCUGGCAGCCCCAGCAGGAACCCGGCUCGUUCCAGAUGGGAGAAACGCCGCUCGUUGCUCAAUUUCCAAGCAGGCUGGGAAGACAGGACACGUUUCCUGUGCUGCUGCAGGGGUGAAGGCAGCGCCCGGGGGGCUGCAGCCCAGCCCAGGCACCCUUUCCUUCGCCCAGCUCUACCUGCUGCCAUCGUGUGCUGCAGCCACACGCUGAAAAAGAGACAUUUUUUUUAGCUGAACCUCAGCCUCGUGGGGUUAGCUCGUGUUUUGCUUCUGGCCACGGCUUCAGCACUGGUGGGUGACCUGCACAGGCAGCUCCAGCACCUCGCUGGCACCCACGUGCAGGGAGUGGGGCACCAGCACGAGGCCACGGGCAGCCCUGGGGUGCUCUGUGCACGUCCCCAGGGCACAUCCCCAUGUCUGGGCACAUCCCCAUCACACAUCCCCAUGCCACAGACAACGAGCACAUCCCAGGAUGGCUCAGAGCACAGAGAAAUCACACAACAACCACUGGGCACCGCAUCCAGCCGGGCUGCCUCGUACCGCACCGCUCACUCCGACUUUAAAACCACUUGCGUAGGGUUAUUUUUUAGCCCGUAAACUGGGAAAAAAAGCAGGGAAGAGAGGAAACCGGGGCUGAUCUGCUCCUGGUGUCCACGAGGAGCUGCCCCUUCGCCCCACGGCGCAGCAGCCAGCAGCACCCGGGGGUGCAGCAGUGACCAGGGCGGCCCGAGGCAGGCGCGGGCUGGAGAGAGGCCCCCUGCUCUUUGAACUGCUCCAGGUGGACAGAGUCUGCGCUCGGUUAUUUACGGGAAUCAAUGUACCAGGAAAGCGCACUGAAAUGAAACAUCUUGUUUUCAAGAGCGUCCUGGGAGCCAGGCAGAACGAGCGGCCAUUAAUCAAAGCCCGGCACGUAAUCAGCACACAUGUACCGCAGAGUCGCCCACGUCCUGAAGCCAGCCCCGGCCAGCGCGCUGCAGAGGAGAAGAGGUCCUUCAAAGCCCUCUGCGCACAGACACCGGGAGCUGGGUUCAUUCACAAAGCUCCAUCGCUUGGCUCAGCCAGGUCUGGCUGUCAGAAAUGUUUAAAUAUGGAAAAAAAUAAACAGUUGCAACACUUUUUUUUUUUUCUUUUUU
Long non-coding RNA from Anas platyrhynchos (mallard), 2151 nucleotides. RefSeq lists it as uncharacterized. The record is from RefSeq and is a predicted model, not a curated record. NCBI's taxonomy places the organism in Eukaryota, Metazoa, Chordata, Aves, Anseriformes, Anatidae.